RNAcentral lists this long non-coding RNA (683 nucleotides) under Androctonus crassicauda. The record is from RNAcentral. Lineage: Eukaryota; Metazoa; Arthropoda; Arachnida; Scorpiones; Buthidae.
UAAGAAUAAAUGUAUUUAUAAUAAUCUUUUGGCAUAUUUAUUAAUGUGAAAAAAUGUUUAGAAAAAUAAGAAAAAAAAUAAAUGAAAUAUUUUUAUAUCGUGUAGAAUUUUUGUAUUUUUCUACGCGGUUCAUAGACAUCGCAUCAAUUGGUUUCUUUUUUUUCCCCCUUCUUCUUUUUCUUCUCUGAUUUGACAACAAAGCAGUUAGUGAAUCCAUUCAGUUAAUCGUACACACCAAUACAAUAUUAGGUUUCAGUCAGCCAAUUUCAAGCAAAAACCACCCGUGAAAGAUCACAAAGGAAUGACAAGAAAGGAGAAACUAUGUUCAAAGAAAGAUGUCUUGAAUCGCAUUCUGGCAAGAUCUGAAGGAGGGGGGAAACCUGCAGUAAUUUUAUCGGAUAAAGAUCGAAACGGCCCCACUAGAGCUCAUUCAUCAUUUUAUACGUCAACGUCACGUGAUGUAACCUUCUUACUGCUAUGCCAUUACUAUCGUUGCCAAGGUUACAGGUAAAAGUUGCAUCAUCGAGACUCUCUCUCUCUCGAAAACUUGAGCUGUUUUAAAGAAUUAUUUAAAUUUUUCGAAAUUCAAAUACUGUUCUAUUCGAAGUUUUCUUAGAAAGCUGGAUAAAUUUGAAAAAUUCUGAAAGAAGAAGAAGAAGAAGAAAAAAAAAAAUACAAAUUAU